This 2654-nucleotide unclassified non-coding RNA is filed under the name Hermetia illucens (black soldier fly). RNAcentral describes it as "protein regulator of cytokinesis 1-like, transcript variant X2". Lineage: Eukaryota; Metazoa; Arthropoda; Insecta; Diptera; Stratiomyidae. The record is from RNAcentral.
AAGGAGGAGUUUCCAUUUAUCAGUUAAUUUGCCGACAUUUUAUUUAUAUUUAUAUAUUUUGUCUUAUACCUUAAAUUUAUAUUAAUAUACAGCAAAAAACAGAACUAAACAUUAAUUGAAAUUGAAAUGACCUUUGAUUUCAUGCACCCAAAGUAGUUCACGCGGAAUAGUUCGCUUGUCAGGCAUACCUUUAGAGUCAAGAGCAAGACCAACUAGCUGCAUCUUGAUAAGUCAAACAACUUCCUCAAUUUUGGAACUAUUUAAAACUCUUCGUUUUUUUCAAGAACAUAUCCUACAAAUUAAUAACGGUUACUGAUUCGAUCAUCGCCUAAGCAUAUGCAAAACAGUGCUUUCUUCCUGGACCGCUAUUUUUUGUUGACGUGAAUUUCUCGAUGGCAACAAACAUGCCAAAACCACGAAAAGUUUGAUUUUCUCCCUUUUUGUUCGGAAAAGUACAUUCACUUUCAGUAAUUACUAUCCGAAAAUAAAAUCACAUUCAGGAAGUGAGACGCGUUGCCUGGGUGGAAUUUGAUUUGACAACAUUUAUCUGUCAGAUGGUUUUUCUACGAUAUUUUCUAAUAUUGAAUAUGGUAAGCCCAUUUCAUUCUGACUCAGACGGUCCACUGAACUGAGUCGCGGACGUUUGAAAGCCAACGGCAUUUGCUGUCGGUUUACUGUGUUGUGUGGGCUCAGAAGUCGGAGUGUUAUUGUGAAAAUUCGAAAUAAUUGUUUUAUACUAAGUGAGCUGUUCGCUACGUGCAUAUAUUUUUAUUCUAGUUUAAGCGUUUUGAAUUCUUUAAAGUGAAAGAUGUCCUGGUUGGAGAGAAAGAAGGAGGAGGUGAUCCGCAAAAUGCAGGGAAUAACCGCGGAGUACAUGGAGAAAUUGUCGGAAAUAUGGUUCGAAACGCUCGACCGCAAGAACUGUGAUGAGCAUUUGUCGAAAAUGAUAGAACACGCUGUUACCUUUUACACUGACAUAAUGCAGGAGUCCCUCGACCGUCGAGAGCGCUUCCUUGCUGCAAUCGCCGAACGUCAGGAGGAGGCAACGGAGCUAAAUCGUUUGUUGAAAGUGGAAGUUGAGCUGAGCCCUAUAAAGGGACUGCCGCUGCAUACGGCUUUAGUAAAACUAGAGAACGGACUUAGCGAUUUGCGAAGGCAACUGAAGCAGCGGAAAGACGAGAUAAUUGAACUCUUGCAGGAACAAGAGGUGCUCUGUGAGGAACUUGGCGAAACGCCAAGGGAACUUCAUGACGACCCCCUGCCGACGGAAUACGAAUUGCAAACGUUCCGUGAGCACUUGAAAGCCUUGAGUGACGAGAAAAUUCGGCGGAAGUUACUGCUGGAUGAGUUACGAGCUGAGAUCCGAGGCUACAUGAAAGAUCUUGAAAUUAUGAUGGACACGACAUUGGAUUCAGUUUUGUUAAAUGACCCGCAAGUGUCGUUGAGUGAGUCGACGAUAAGCCAGCUGUGCAAGCUACGUGACGAAUAUAGACAACAAGUGCAUGAGCUCCGCGGCUCGAUAGAAAGGAUGAAGUCAAAGUUAGAUAUUCUCUGGAACUACUUAGAAGUGAGCCCAUCGGUCCGUCAUAAGUUCUCCAAGUACGUGGAGUAUACGCAAACUACGUACGACAGAUAUUAUCAAGAGCUAGAGCGCUGCGAGAAUCAGAAGAAGCAGAACGUGAAGAAAUUCGUUGAUCGAGUUCGUGCCGAGAUCUGUGAAUGGUGGGAGAAGACAAUGAAGUCGGACACAGAGCGGGCUCGGUUCGCUUAUUUCACGAAUGAAUGUUACACCGAGGAUUUGUUGACUUUGCACGAAAUGGAACUGGAAGAUUUGAAGAACUUCUAUAGUAGCAACCAGAAAAUAUUCGAAUUGAUUGAACAAAGGAAAGUUUUGUGGGAUCGAAUGGCAGCGCUGGAAGCGAAGGCAUCUGAACCGGGAAGGUAUAAUAAUCGCGGGGGUCAACUGCUGAAGGAAGAGCGGGAGCGUAAGACGAUUGCAAACAAGUUGCCAAAAAUCGAAGCGGAACUUACUGAAUUGGUAACUGAGUACGAGGACAAAUAUCAGAAAAAAUUUUUGGUUUUCGGCGAAGAUGUGAUUGAAUCUAUGGCUCGCGAUUGGGAGACGAAGAAGGCUGAGAAGGAGAAGUUGAUGAGUGCCCGGAAGAACGCGACUGUGUCAAACACGCCCAUGUCAGCGUCGAGAAAUAUGGCCAGAACGCCGUUGUCAGUAAAGAACUAUUCUACAAUCAAAGCAUUUUCGUCUAGUACAAAAGUUUCAGCUCAACCGUCUGGCGUUAAGCGGAAACUUCUGACUGUCGAAAGCUUGCUACCAAACGCUAAACGGAGCCUGAUGCACGAAUUGGGAAGUCCGAGGAAUGCAAUCGGGACGAACUAGCAGCAAUUCAGCAAAAACUAAAAGGAAAUCCACAAAUAAGACGCCAGUGAAAUUGCCAAGAAUGAAAAUAACAAGCGAGAAUUGCACCGGUUCGGACACAAUGUCAUACGAUAUGUUCGAGGAUUACAUUGCGAAAGACCCAUCUUGCAGAUCUUCGGUGGUGAUUAAUGACACGAAAAGGUCGAGAACGAACACCCGAACAAAAUUUCUGACAUCAACGUCGACGUGUCCGACGCCUACCCCUCCGCGCAGUUCUCGC